This 363-nucleotide ribosomal RNA is filed under the name uncultured eukaryote. RNAcentral's name for it is "SSU rRNA". It matches the Rfam family "Eukaryotic small subunit ribosomal RNA", at positions 567 to 929 of the family's 1831-position model. The record is from RNAcentral.
CCAGCAGCCGCGGUAAUUCCAGCUCCAAUAGCGUAUAUUAAAGUUGUUGCAGUUAAAAAGCUCGUAGUCGGACUUCUGACGUCGUGUGCUGUGGUCCGCCGCAAGGUGAGCACUACUGGCUGCACCGUCAUCCUCCUGAGGAGCAGUGCUGCUCUUAAUUGGGCUGGUGCUUGCGACUCAGGAUCUUUACUUUGAAAAAAUUAGAGUGUUCAAAGCAGGCCUUUCAGCUUGAAUACAUUAGCAUGGAAUAAUGGAAUAGGACUUUGGUUCUAUUUUGUUGGUUUCUAGGACCGAAGUAAUGAUUAAUAGGGAUAGUUGGGGGCAUUCGUAUUUAGUUGUCAGAGGUGAAAUUCUUGGAUUUAC